Carica papaya (papaya) is the source of this 10518-nucleotide non-coding RNA. The record is from RefSeq and is a predicted model, not a curated record. Lineage: Eukaryota; Viridiplantae; Streptophyta; Magnoliopsida; Brassicales; Caricaceae.
AUAUGUAUAUGUCUGGGUACGCGCAGGAAUAUCUGUUCCCAUACGCAGAACUCGGCAAAUCUAUCCAUGAAAAUACAGAAGUAGAAUUUAAUUCUUCAGAUCCACAUAAUUAUUCAACCAAAAAAAAAAAAAAAAACCACACAAAAAAUAGCAUUUUUACAAAUGAAUCAAUCAGAUUCCAAAAACAAUCUUCAUCAAUUGAUUCAAUUCUGCGACCUGAUGACUUGGGGAAUCUCCAUCUUCAUUUUCAAUAAUCCCUUCAAUAAAAACAGAAGGGACCGGUAUAUCUAACAUUAUUCAACAUAUCAACCUCAACUUCUAGUUCUACUACUAGUACAAGGCUUGGCGAUCAAGGUAGGUUGCUCAUCUCCGGCCAAGAUCACAACUAUUUCUGGUGCUACGGCAGCUGGUAUGUCUACGCUGUCCAUGGAUUUCUCUUCCUUUUCUCUCGAAACCUCCUGUGCUGACACACGGUAGUAGCAAGCGAGGAAGAGCAAGGCGAUGGCAAUGAUUACGGAAAAGAUUACAAGACCUCCGAAAAUGGUUACCAAGAUGGGAGUUUUCCACCUUGUGGUUCCAGCUGAUCGAGACAGUGAGUCACUUGCAGGGCUCACUAUAGUAGCCUCCAUUACAAGUCUUUUUUUUUUUUUUUUGCCUAGAUGAAAGAAACUAUCUUUCUUGGUUGAAAUAAUCGAAGGGUGAGGUUCUAUUUAUAUGGGAAACACAAGAAAGUUGGAUGCUUCUGUAAUGACUUUUUCUUUUGGUUAAAUUGAGUAGAUAUAUGUAAUAUUUAUGUGUACAUAUAUAUCUUGGUUACUGGAAUGACCCUUUUAACAAGAUAAAAAGUGACAUGCUUUUUUCCAUGUGAUUUAAAUCUUGAACUUCAUGUAUAUAAAAAUGUAGAUUCUGUGCAUAUAUAUAAAUAAUUAGGUAGGUUGAGGAUUGAUGAACUUUUAGCACGUGUGAAAAGAAAAAGCUUAGACAGGUAGAACUUAUUACCAAAGCUAGAUUAUGUCCACGGAGGAGAUUGGAAUAAUAUAUGUGGAGAAUAGAAGAGGGAGGGAAACAAGGAAAUUGCAGAACACAUGGAAAAGCAAGAGCGAUUCAAUUGCAGGCUCCACGCGUUGAUUUUGAUCGGGCCAGGGAGAAAAGCAGAGAUUUCAGAUUGAAAUGGACUAGGCGGUGGGCGAUACACUUGGUGGUACAUGAGAAUAUCGAUGAUCGCUUUCAAAGAUCUCAUCAUUAGCUGCCGUGAGAAUUUCAGAUUGAAAUUGAUUCGGGACCGACGGUACACUUGGUGUUGAAAGAGCUUGUUGACGAGCAUGCCUUGAAGGAUUUUGUCAGUAGCUGUUGUGACAGGUUGAGAUGUUUGCAGGACAGAUGUUCGUGUUAUGUCCUCAGAGAACAAAUCGUAUUGCUGAUGCCAGGGCAAGGAUGGGCUGGCUGAUGGCGCUGAUGCAGGAAUCUGGCUCCAAACAUCAGGUGACAUUAGGAGCAUUAUGGGCGCCGAGUGAAAUGAUUCCUCCAAGGAGUUAAGUCUGUUUCUUCUUUGUUCCUCUGUCCUUGAAUUCAAAAGAAAAAAAGUCAAAUACAGUGAAAGAAUCUGUACUCUGUAGGCAGCACCUAGAAAGUUGUCUUUUAGAAAAAUCUAAUUCUUUGAUGAGAAGCACAGCUAGGAGUUGAGUGCUUGUGGAGGCUGUAAGAGACCAGACAAGAAUAAAUAUCUCCAAAAUUUUAGUUGAAGAGAAAAGAAAACAAUAUAAAGUUGUCAUUAGAUAUAAGAUCCGGCACUCUUGAACGAUUUUAGUUUACUUUGUGUUUCUAAUUGUGAUUAUGUCUCACCUUAAACUUUUGAUUAUCCCCUAAUAUAUUUCAUAUAAUUGUUGGGACAAAGGUCAAGGUCCUAGAAAAGGAUCCAGUGACAGUCUAGUCUAGUCCAGUCUGCUAGACGUAAAGCUUUCAGAUUAUUAUUGACAGUCUCGUUCCAAGCCUUUUUAUAUUCUAUACCAGGAUGAAUAAAGACAAUGAAGAAGACUCCUUCAAAUCCUGUGUAAGAGCCAUCAAUUUUCUAUUUCCCUGAACAGAGUGACCAAAUGGGUCUUUUGGUGAUCCUCUAGUUUGAUCAACUUGGGAUCGGAUUCAUGCUCGGAGUUCAAAUAUUUUGUGGCCUUUUCAUGUUUGAUCAACUUGUCACAAGUUUUCCUUGCAGUUAGGUUUUUUUAGACAGAUAUAUCUUGGAGGUAGUAUUUCCCAUUAUUCAAUUAUGUGGGGAACUCAUUUGUAGGAUUUCAAUUAUGUGGGGAACUCAUGUUUUUUAUUCUAUUAUCAGAAAUUUGUCUAUUUACUGACUAUUGUAUCCAUUGACUUCUGAAUUAUUGAUCAUACCGGAUGGGUAGACUGAAAAGUUUACUAGAAACAGGGGCUACUGUCAGUGAAAUGUUUGUUUGUUUUCUUCUGGGUGUGUCUUCUUUCUUAGGACAUGCUUGAUUCAAUGGUUAAUCCCCUUUCCAAUUGAUUCUGACGUUGUGAGGAGGUACCAUUAAGUUUGAGUCUUACUAUUAUUCGUUUCUUAUAACUGCAAAGAGUAUUUCUAAGAAAGAAUAUGAUAGUCAAGCAGGAUUAGGUUAAGAAUCCAUUCUUACGAUAAGUUUGAUUAUUUCUAGUGUUUUUAUGAUCUUUUAUGGGUCUUUUUUCUAAUACUAGAGAUUGACUUAAAACCAGAAUUUCUUGGCAUUAGUAUGCUUCGAGGUAAAUCUUAAUAACUGACAUUUGACAACCUGUUCUCUAAUCAUGGUUGUCUGAUUGCUUACCAUAAAUGUCCAGCACAGAACUGCUAUGGUUAAAUUUAAAGUUCUCUCUGGUAUUAUGUGAAUGUAGAGGAAAGGAAAUUUUUUUAGAAGAUAUAUUUUCUUGAGAAUUCAGAAAUUCUGGGUUCUUUGUAGAUCAUACCUUUCCUCAAGUAUAGCUUAAAUCCAAAAUUUGUAACUGUCUUGUCUUAAAUAAGAUUGUGUAAGGAAGCUGCUUAAAAUGUACCAAAAGAAAAAGGGUAAAGUGGUAAAAUAGGCAUAAGGAAAGAGGGAAAAAUAUUUUAUUGCAGUUGCGAAUUGGUUCAGAUGUUAUUUCCUGUUAUUUUUCCGUUAUAACUAAAGAGAAUGCCUCCAGUUAGUAUUAAUGUAGAUAAUUAGAGGGAAGUGAAUAAGCCGAAAAUAAAAUUUCUCUCACCAUUUCCUUUUUUCUCUGUUUCCUUAUAUCUUGAGAAAUUGGUAUCAGAGCAGUUGGAAUCUGAUGAAACCCAUGCUUCUGUGGCAUCGAGGACCCCAUCAAAAGGGAACACAUUUAUUAUGGAACAACAAAAAGAUGCAACAAGUGGAAGACUCUGUGCAAGAAGUAUACCAACAAUUUGUGGAAUUCAUAACCAAGAUGCAUGAAUCACAGUGUCAAACCAAAUAACAAUUUGAUCAAAUUGUUGAAAUGUUGCAUGGCAGUUCAUGAUCCAUGGAGUCGAACAACCAGGCCAGUCACAAAUCAGAUGUUGUUACGACUGCCAAAGGAAUACUCCCCACUUUGGUCACGUGCGACACUGAGGAUAUCCCUUAUCCUGUGUACACCAGAAUCAAGGGGAACCAUUUAAUGAUAUUAACCAAGGUAGAGAUUCCUCUGUUUGAAGGGGUGAACUUAAGGGAUUGAUUCCAGCAGUAUGAUAAGUAUUUCCUGGUUCAUGGCAUCCCGAAUGAGAAGAAGGUAGAGAUUGCUUCUGUCUUCCUAGAAGAAGUAGCGCAAAUGUGGCAUCAGGGGUGGUUGCAAAGAAUGAGACUGGGAAUGGGAAGCAUUUGUCGAGGAGCUUUUUUGGAGGUUCAAAGGGGCCAAUAGGAAAGGUUUUAUUGAGGAAUUCAACAAGCUUGUGCAUAUCGGAGCUUUCCUGGAAUAUUAGGAGCAGUUUGAGCAUUUUAGGGCAUUGGUGACUGCAGAUAACCUGACUUCCUCAGAAAGGUUCUUCAUCUCAAACUUCAUCAGUGGAUUAAAGCCGGAAGUGCAGCCAAACGGCUACUAGAUAUGUAGUCUCUCAACCAAGCUUUUGAGCAAAAUCUCUUACUGGAGCAGUUAAUUAUUAAGAUGUAUCAGAAUGCUUACUUUGUGGGACAUAAUCCCUGUUAUUUGACGCUAAUGGAAACCAGGGAGCCCAUGGGACCUGGAAAUUGGAGCAUUUGCAGGACUUGGCCCUAAAACACCCACAAUAGGAGAAUGAAGUUAGAAGAGCAGCUGCCUACUGUUAUAAGUGCGGUGGUCAACAUUGUUGACCCGCCGUUGCAAAUCAAAAUUGUGAUGGCAGCAGAGGAGUUAGUUACCAGUUAGGGAGAGGAUGAACCAUAAUCGGAGGAACUGAUAUCUGGUGAGGAGGAUAACAUAGGUAUGAUUUCUAUUUAGGUUAGUGAAGGAAUAUUUGCAGGUAAACACUUCAAAAAUUAGGGCAUUGUUAGAAGGGCAUGAUGUACAUGUCCUUUUGGAUAGUGGUUGCUCACUAUCAUUUCUUCACGAGAAUGUCGUGAAAUUGAUAAAAAAUAAGGUGAUAGGGAAAAAGACACUGACAGUGAUGGUGGCCAAUGCAUAAAAAUUUCUAGAAAAAUUGAGUGCUCUAAUGUCUCAUAGAUGAUGCAGGGUGACAAAUUCUGCUAAAGCUUUAAAGUCAUCAUGUUGGGCGGUUACAAUAUGAUCUUUAGGGUUUGACUAGAUGAAGCAAUUAAACUCCAUAGUUUUCAAAUUUUUAUCUAUAAUUAAAUUCCAUUAAGGUAAUAUGCUAAUAUUAAUCGGGAGGGAGAAAAAAAGCUUAAUUUGACAAGUCUAACUGGCACCAUAACCCAGAAACUGUUGAAGCAGAAACAACACAUCAAAGAUGGAGCCAUCUUCUUAGUAGUGAUAAGUGAGACCAAGACACCAAAGCAACAGAGAAGCAGAAUGAAUCUUUGGAAACCCUGCUGGAAAAAUACAGGGACGUCUUUGAUGAAUCCUGAGACCUGCCUCCUCUUACGGCCUUUGAUCAUGCAAUCUCCCUGGCUCAAGGAGGAGUUUAAGUGAAUAUACGCCCCUACAGGCACUCUUACUAUCAGAAGAAUGAGAUUGGAGAGACAAAUUCAAAAGAUGCUAGAAGGUCCCUUAAUACAGUCGCUCUUACUAUCUUUUAAAGUGUACAAUGAAAUGUUUGUUUUCUUCUUGGUGUGUUUACUUUCUUAAGGCAUGCAUGAUUCAAUGGUUAAUCCUCUUUCCAAAGGAUUCUGAGGUUGUGAGGAGUAACUGUUAAGUUUGAGUCUUGCUACUAUUUGUUUCUUUUUAUUUUCUUUGAAAGCUUAUAAUUCGUUUUCUUAUAAUUGCAAAGAGCAUUUCUAAGAAAGAAGAUGAUAGUGAAUCUGGAUUAUGGUUGAUAAUCCAUUCUUAAGAUAAGUUUAUUUUAGUUAUUUCUAGCGUUCUCAUUCUGUCACGGUAAUGCUAGAGAUCAACUUAGUAUUAGAACUUCUUGGCAUUAGUAUGGUUCUCAAGGUAAAUUUUAAUAACUGACAUUUGACAACCUGUUCCCAAGUCAUUGUUGUUUGACUGCUUACUAUAAAUGUCCAGCAAAGGACAGCUAUGGUUAAAUUUAAAGUUCUCUCUGGUUAUUAUGUGAAUGUAGAGGAAAGAAAUUUUGUUUUAGAAGAUAGCCAUUCUCAGCAUUCAGAAAUUCUGGGAUCUUUGUAGGUAUACCUUUCCUUAAGUAAAACUUAACUCAAAUAUGUAAUUCUGUCUUAAACAAGGUUGGCUAAGGAAGCUGCUAAAAGUGUAACAGAGGAAAAAGGGUACAGUGGUAAAAUAGGCAUAAGCAGAAAGGGAAAAUAUUGUCUUGCAAUUGAGAAUUGAUUCAAGUGUUAUUUCCUGUUAUUUUUCCGUCAUAACUAAAGGGAGCGUCUCUCUUUAGUAUAUAAAUAGCUAAUUGGGGGGAGAUGAAUAAGCAGAAAAUCAAAUUUUUAAUUUCUAAUUCAAAUUUCUGUCACCAUGUAUCUCUUUUCUCUGUUUCCCGUCUAUCUUUCUCCCUGAUUACCUAGUCGACACUGUAAGUUCAAGAGCCAAUGAACAAGACUCUUGACAGGUUGCUUGUUUGUAGAUGCUAGAUAAACAAAAUAAUUAGUGAAUAUUAGAUAUCUUUUUAUGUUAAAAUACAAAUAAUAAAUUGGAUCAUUUUCUGUUAGUUAUAAAGUCUUGAGAUAUUUGACCAUUCAAUCAAUUACUUAACAUGGCAUUAAUGUUAGAACUGUUUCAGUCUGGUCUUGGCCCUGAUAGAGCAUACUAGAGAGUAAUUUUUAUCAGCUCGAGCUAUUAGAUAUUAUACAAUCAAUUAUUUAACAAUUAAUAAGAUGUUUACAUGCACAAUAGAUCUUCUUGCAUCGUCAGACGACCUGUCAAAAAAUUAAGCAUGCAAACUUCUUUAAAUCGUCAGGACUAUUGACUGGGCUGUUGACUGGUUAUCACAUUCUAAGUGAUGCACAGCCAUCAGGACUGUUGACUGGGCCUCCAGUUGAUGCUAUGAUUAAGAUUGAAGAGUUUGUACAUGCAUUGCUGGAUUUUACACAUAUUCUGCAUCUGCCUUGGUUUUUUGGGAAACAAGGUGCUUAGGCUUUUGGUUAUCCACGGUCAUUAAUUCUCAUCACUUUGUUUUUCCCACUUUUCCGUUUGGGAUUUAAAAAGCUUGAGAUAAAACUUCAAAAUCAUAGCUUUUUAUGAUGCAGGAUGUAAGUGUAAAGAUCUCCUUUCCCAUGUCCCCAUAGUCCCUCUCAGAUCCUAAACAAAAUUUAAUGAGUUCCAAGAAUAAGAUAGAUCAAAGGAGAAUUUGACAUUCCUCUUCUAGUUAUGGAAAGAUGUAAUUAUUUAUUCUCAACAUUUUUCUUCAAAAAAUGUCUCUUCCUAGCUCUUAAUAGCUUAGAGAAGUGAAUUUCUAGAUAAGUUGUAGGCAUACUCUUUUGAGAGCUUAAAUUUGUAGCAAGUUUUUUAAGAGCCUAUCAAAAGCUCCUCAAUUCAGUCCAAAUAGUUUAAAUUUUUAUUUAACUUACACAAAGUUUAACCAUUACCAUUUAUUAAUAUCUACUCUUUUCAAGUUCAAUUAUUACCAUUUAUAUAGUUGCUUGAUUACCAUUUAUGAUAAUCUACUCUUUAAAAUUUAUUUUUGUUUUUUAAACGACUUUUUAAGUUUAACUAUUACCAUUUAGAUAAUCAUUUAAUUACCAUUUAUCACUAAGCUACUCGUCAUUUAUUACCCCCGGGAAAGUAUAAGUUUCCUCUUAGUUGCAAGUUAUAGUAUGGAGAAGAAUUCUAAAUUUCUCAUACAUACAAUAUAGUCAUACGCACUCAAAUCAUGCAAUACUUUAUUUAGAUACUUAUGUAUCUUUUUCUGGUUUGAUUUUUGUAAAUAGCACUCUAAAGGAUAAAAUUUUGACUGUACAAAUUGAUACAAGGGAGUUUGCCUUCAAAAAACCGGAGAUAUAUGAUGAUGCCUUCAGCAUGAUCUUGUGGGUGAGGAUUAAUGAUGUCCUAGACCUUCAAACUAAUCAAUCCAUCUCUUGUUUCCUUAUAAAUUUGCCCUUCACUCGAGGUCGAAUUUGUGCAUAACAAGACUUUCUUGAUUGACAUCUCAUGUUCUUGUCCUUCAACUUCCUUGCUUUUAUUUUCUCUCUGAAUCUCUGGACCUUUGCUUUCCUGUUCAUCUCAAUAAACUGGGGCGGUAGUACUGAGAGGGAAGAGCUAGAGAAGAUCAGUUUAAUUCUUGCGUCUGGAGAUUUGGCAUUGAUGAUCUGUCGUGUAUUGUCGAUUGUUUUGUCUGGUGAUAUACUCGCAUAACAUAAAUCCACAGGGGCCUGAUCGUGAAAUGAGAUGUAAAUUGCUAUAGCUAGUGAUAAUCAGAGAAUACUUAGUAGAUAAGAGACUACAUAGACACUUAUUUUAUUAUUAUUUAAUUUAACAAUUAGGAUAUAUUUGGGCCAACUUUGCUUACUGAGAUUAAGCCUUACUCUGAUUGCCUUAAAGAUAGACUAUCUAUAUACUUAAUUUUUUUUAACAAAAACAGUAAAAAAUCAUUGCAGUCUCAUUCCAAGAAAUCGAACAUUAAUAAUAAUCAUUCAUCUCACUCAACCAUACUUUUGAUUCAAGUAUGAAGGAAAUUUGGUUUUAGGUCUUUGUAUAAUAUAGUAACUUAGUUAUAAUUUUAAGUCUAUAGGUAAGUUAUUGACAGUCAUUACAAAUGAUGCCAGUAGCAUGACUAGAAUUUAGACAGAGACUAAGCAGGGUAUUGUUUGGUCAGUAUGUUUGUGUAAAAGACAUCUUAUCAGUUCUAACUGAUGUUAGGCAUAUAACUUUUUCCUACGCCAACAUACAGACCCAGAGAAUGAAUUUUUUAAGAGAAAUAAAUUUGCGGAUGGUGAUUAUUGGUGUAUAGGAUCUUACAGUACCACUUGGGGGUGUGUUGGUGAAAGCAACCUCGGAAGCCCCAUAAAAUGGGUCCGGCUGCAGUUGUUCCUGUUGCUGUUCUGUGACCUGGAAAGAUUGAGCUGCUGCGACGCCAUCACUUUCAUUCCCAAAAAAAUGGAAAUUACUGGGAAUUUGGUGCUGAUGGCUGCAUGAACUAUUGUCAUUAUCAACAAAAUUAUUUGUAUAAUGACGACUAACCUCCUGAUCAUUACACACGAAGCUGCCACUGCACCAAGCCUGCAGGUUCUCAUUUUCAUUAUCAGGCUCAAGCAACAGCCAAGUUUCGAGUUUGUCUUCUUUGUUUGUUCUCUGCUUGGUAUAUUAUUACCACUGCUCAUGGUUUCCUUCUCUGCACUAAUUGUGUUAAAGGCAGUUCCUGAGCUAGAGACAGGAAAUAAUACUGGAUCCUGCUGGGUUCCUGCCAGUGGGUUGGAUGAGUACAAUAUAUCUGAUAACGCGUGACAGUUGGUGCAUAGCCAGGACCCAUUAACCUUGAACUUAAUGGCUGCCUGGGAAUAUUGACAUAGUUCACAGAGCAGGUGACCUCGGACACGGCUAUGAUCAUCACUAAGGUGGCAGUCUGUGUGAGAAUAGAGAGAGCAACCCAUUACCCUGCACACAUCACAGGUAUCUAACUCGAUUAGCAAAUUUUUACCUAUGCUGCAUCGUUAUUGGCUACACUGUUCUGUGCUUCUCCCCUCCUGGACCAAUUAAAAUGCUGCGGAGACAUCUUGGCAUUUUCCGGCCCUUCAGUGCACUGAAAAGCCCUCUGGUAAGUUGCCUUCCGGGUAUAUCUUCCAUGCAUGCAUCAACUUUUUGGUCCCACAUUGUCACUGCAAGUUUUAGUCUUUUUUCCUUUUUUCUUCCUGUCAUCCAGUUCUUUUACAUGUGAUGUUCUAUUUAUGCAGCAAAAUGUUGGAAGUUUGGUACUUAUUGAGCUUAUUUGCAGACAUAUUGCACCCAUUUAAGUAUUAUCUUAAAAACCGGAAUGCCAUGAGGGUAUGCUAAUUAAUGUUGAUGAUAAGUGGUCACAUGAAAAAUAAGUCAGAUAUUUUAGCAUGCGGAUGCAGAGGGGAAAUAGACACCUUUGAUUUUGAGAGGGCUGUAACUGAUAUUGACAUAUACUUUAUUAUAAUGCAACAAAUGAACUUUGAGAGAGUUGAAUUUGGAAUCUAUGUAUAAAAUUUUACACUUUUUGGGCACGAAGGCUUAUCAUUGGGACUGGAAGUAGCCACUUAGAGUUUAGAUUUGGCAUUAAAGUAGCUAAUCUGCAGCUCUUGUUGCUGGAGGAGGUAAUUACAAUUUUGUUGCUGCUGCAACCAAGGUUCAAGUUCGUCUUCUUCAUUUAACCUCUGCUCGGGCAAAAUACAGCUCAGAAUGGUUUUACUCUCUAGGGGGCUGAUCAUACUAAUAAUAAUACCCUGACUAGAGAUAGAAAAUAAUAUUGGACCCUGUCCAGUUUGUACUGGUGCAUCGGACAAGUGCAAUGUAUCAGAUAACUCGUGAUAAUUGAUUCAGAACUAUGACUCAUCAGCCCUGAAACUAAUGACUUCUCAACGCAUACCGACAUAAGUCACAGACCGGGCGCUGAUAGACAUGCUCAUGGGGGGCAAAGCCGGUUCCACUCGAGCUAUAUUGCUACAUUUAUGACCCAUGAUGGAGACUGCAGCCAAUAUGAGUCAUUACGCCGCAUAUAUAACAGGAAAAGUGUGAAGAAGAGAUGAGAGAAGAGGUUGGUUGACUAAACAAGGAAAAGAAAGAGAGAAUCCCAAAAGUAGGAAGGGAAUAUUUGUCGCCCGAGCGCGCUGGCACACACAUGCAAGUAUACUCCGUGCGGUCACAGACACCCACUCGCACACACACAGAGAGACACUGAACAAAAAAUUCCAAAUUUUUUUUUCUAUUCAUAUUUCAUCGUACACCAAGAUUUUAAUGUAGCUUGAUAUGAUUCUGUGUUACGUUGAAAAAAUAAUUCAAUAACUCCGUUAGGUUGGGAAGAUAAUCAUGAUUUAUUGGGAUGUAAUUGAUGGUCAA